GCAGGGGUGGAUCGGUGGUAGAAUUCUUGCCUUCCAUGCAGGAGACCUGGGUUUGAUUCCUGGCUAAUGCA
Molecule: transfer RNA, 71 nt
Filed under: Loxodonta africana (African savanna elephant)
Lineage: Eukaryota; Metazoa; Chordata; Mammalia; Proboscidea; Elephantidae
Rfam family: tRNA
About the family: Transfer RNA (tRNA) molecules are approximately 80 nucleotides in length. Their secondary structure includes four short double-helical elements and three loops (D, anti-codon, and T loops). Further hydrogen bonds mediate the characteristic L-shaped molecular structure. tRNAs have two regions of fundamental functional importance: the anti-codon, which is responsible for specific mRNA codon recognition, and the 3' end, to which the tRNAs corresponding amino acid is attached (by aminoacyl-tRNA synthetases). tRNAs cope with the degeneracy of the genetic code in two manners: having more than one tRNA (with a specific anti-codon) for a particular amino acid; and 'wobble' base-pairing, i.e. permitting non-standard base-pairing at the 3rd anti-codon position.
Source: Rfam by way of RNAcentral